CGCGUAGGCGGCUUGGUCAGUCAGGCGUGAAAUUCCUGGGCUUAACCUGGGGACUGCGUUUUGAACUGGGUAACUAGAGUGUGUCAGAGGGGGGUAGAAUUCCACGUGUAGCAGUGAAAUGCGUAGAGAUGUGGAGGAAUACCGAUGGCGAAGGCAGCCCCCUGGGAUAACACUGACGUUCAUGCUCGAAAGCGUGGGUAGCAAACA
RNAcentral lists this ribosomal RNA (207 nucleotides) under uncultured bacterium. RNAcentral's name for it is "partial 16S ribosomal RNA". It matches the Rfam family "Bacterial small subunit ribosomal RNA", at positions 568 to 774 of the family's 1533-position model. The record is from RNAcentral.